GUCCCCUUCGUCUAGUGGUAAGGACUCAGGAUUUUCAAUCCUGCAACACGGGUUCGAACCCCGUAGGGGACG
This 72-nucleotide transfer RNA is filed under the name bacterium. RNAcentral describes it as "tRNA-Glu". It matches the Rfam family "tRNA". Rfam says of the family: Transfer RNA (tRNA) molecules are approximately 80 nucleotides in length. RNAcentral also lists the same sequence under 3 other names. The record is from RNAcentral.